Molecule: long non-coding RNA, 10149 nt
Filed under: Nicotiana tabacum (common tobacco)
Lineage: Eukaryota; Viridiplantae; Streptophyta; Magnoliopsida; Solanales; Solanaceae
Description: long non-coding RNA (NTAB_LNC000507)
Source: RNAcentral
UGUCUGCACUUUUCCUUUACCUUACCACGUGUAAUUUAUUUCAAAUACUCCUCUUUUUCAAUUUGCAGAGUGCAAACAUAUUACAACUCCUCUAAUUCUUUCUCCUUCGCACACUCUGCAAGUUCAGUGAGUUUUACAAUUCGUCUGGGCUUCUUUGGAUCCUUUGAGUAUGAGAUUUUUCCUCUGUCUAUGUUCAUAUUUCUUAUAUGAAUUCUGUCUUUUGUGAUUUUUCAUUCUGUUUGCCUCAAUUUUCGAGUGUCUAUUGUGUUUAUUAAAUUUUAUAAGUUUUCUCCCCAAUUUUUUUCUCCUUAUGUUGUGUACUGGAUUUCACUUCUGGAUUUCUUUGAAAGUUUUGUCUAUUUUUGUUCGAUGUUGGUUUCUCUAUUCUUUUGAAUAAUUUCUUGCUAGAUUUUCUAUCUCAUUUUGAUAUGCAUGUCUGGAAAGAAAUAUCUAGGUGCAUUGCACCACAUAUACUAGCAUUCUCAUAAAAAGAAAUACCUAAGUGCAUGCUCUUUGUGUUCUGAUCUUGAUUGUGUAAAUUGGGGUAUUUAGUGGAAAAAAUUUUUUCUUUAAAGGUUCUGAUUAAGGGUGAAAUAGGUUGUAUUAUCGAAUUAUGAAUUAUUUUCGGAGUAAUUUCAUAUUUGAUCUUUAUUCGAAGUAUGUAUACUGCUUUAAUGGCAGACUUGAGUGCUACAGGUGUCAUGAGCAGCUUCCUUCUUUCAUUUGUUCUCUUUCAGGACAUUCUUAAGUUUUCAGAUAAGAGGGUUGAUGAUUCAUUUUUCCUCCAUAUUUCGCAAAAGUUCAUUUGAUUGCAGUGCAAAGCUAUCCGCAUAUGGAAGAAGAUUUGUAAGGGGAAAAAAGUAAGUUUUAGUCAUCCUGUGUGUUUUUGUCUUCCUUACUGCUCUUGGCCAUGGAUUCUUGAUUCAUUUCAAAAUUUCUAUUGUGGUUUCCCUUUGUAUGUGGAUUUGCUGAUUUUUUUUCUCUUUUUCUUAUUGAUGAGCAUUUAGAUGUUCGAUUCUAUUUUUGAUAAGAUUAUUGAUUUACAAUUUUCACUCGCUCUCUGAAAGUAUCUUUGCAUUUCGCUUUGUUUUUCUUUUUAAUACUCCUACAGAGUAUGUGAUUUUGAAUAUUUGUUUGCUUUUUCUCUUUCUUCAUGUAUGUAGUUAUUUGUUAGAACUCUUCUAUGGAAGCACUGAAUGUUCAUCAAGAAUAAAUAGUAGUAACAAAAAUGGAAGAACUUUGAUGCAACAAAAGUGUUUGACAAUAAACCUGAAACAACUGAAAGAGCUUUUAUUCCUCUUUUUUCAGUUGUUCUAUAACAUAAAUAUACUAUCAUUUAGCAACUCCAAAUCUAUAUUACUUUUACUAGUAUUAAGAGAAAGCAAUGAGAGUUCUAAUCAUCAAACCGUUCCGACACACGGUUUAAAACUAGAGUCACCCCUAGGCGCCACACCUCAUAAUGACAAAUCCCGAGUCACAAAUCACAAAUCAAAUACACAUGGAAUCUCAUGCCCCCAUUAUCAAUCACCUUCGCACGGCUAAGAUCUCGUUCUAUAGUAUAACUCACAACCGUACGGACAACUCAUGUAUUUCCUAGACAACUCGCGUGCCAAUAUCACAAUCCACCCAGCAUGGUCACAUGCUCAAUAUCACAAUCCACCCGGUGUGGUCACAAGAUCAAUAUCGCAAUUAGCCCGGUGUGAUCACGGGCUACCAUUCCAAACCAUAUCGCAGAAAAACUAGAUAUACAAUAAUACAUGUACAUUAUCAAUGAACAUCAUGUUUUAUACUCCUGGACCGGUAUAAAUGACAUGUUACAGUAUAUGCAUGUACAAGUGUAAUAUCACAGCUCAAAUCAUCAAGUAAUAUCAUAAACAUUGAGUAGCACAUUGGGAACAACAAAACAAGUCACGUAAUAUGCAUGACAUGCACAAGAAAGUCAAAAACAACAACCAUAAUACUCGUCUUUCAUCAACAACAUGCCCCUAAGACAUCACAUAACAUCCCCAUAUCGCCACCCUUAUCUCACUAUUUUGACAAUAUCAUAAUAGCCACAUGUAUCGCUCCACUCGGACAAUAUAUCAAUAGCCACUCGUAUCCCUCCGCCCCGACAAUAACACAAUAGCCACCCUUAUCACUCCGCCCAGACAAUAACACAAUAGCCACAAGUAUCACUCCACCUAGAAAAUAACACAAUAGCCAUUUGUAUCACUCCGGUCGGACAGAAUAUCAAUAGGCACUAGUAUCACUCCGCACAAUCAACAAUAGUGAAAUGACACCCUUAUGAUCUGCACAAUCAACAAUAGUGAAGUGCCACCCUUAUGCUCCACACAAUAAUGAUCAAUCCCCACAACAUGUCCACAUAUGCCACAAUAUUUCCAAAACAACGAUACCAAUAUCAUAAUAAAGCAUAGCCCAUGGCUCAACAACAAUGUGUACUAGAAUUUCAAAAACAACAAAAUGAAAUGGGAAAUAAGUUGAAAAUAAAAGAUAUUUCAUAUAACAACAACUUCAAUUAAAAGCAUAUGAAUAACCUAAGGGUCCAAAACGAUCAAUUCCAUAUAUAAGAUCGGGUACAAACGUGUCACCCUGUAUACACGACUUUUACAUAAUUCAAAUAAUGCAAUUAGACCAAAUCUUGUAAGAUAGAUUCCUCCACACAAAGUUAGGCAAGAUAUUUAUCUUAAAAAAUAAAAUCAAUCCACUAAUAAGCCUUUUCUACGUGAAACAACCUCUGAACAGCUCGAAUCUAGUCAAAAUAACAUAAUUUCAUAUAUAAAAGCCAUAGAAAACAUUUUUCGAAUAAUAAAGAUUCGAUCUUGAACAAGAAUCAAAAAUUUUACCUUGGUUCUGCACCUUGGAACCCAACAAAACUUACAAAUUCUAAACACAUAUUCAAAUUCGAGUUCAACCAUACCAAAAUCAUCCAACUCCGACCUCAAAUCAGCCUUCAAAUUAUCAAUUUAUGUUGUAGAAAAGUUUUUACUAAAAUUCCCAAUUUCUCCAAUUUAAAACAUCAAGCAAACACUAAAAUCGAGGUUAGAAUCAUGAAAUAUAAAUAAAUCCGAGUCAAACACUUAUCCCAUUCCUAAUAUUGACCAGGGGUCCUCUUCGAGAUCGCGGGACUUGCUUCGCUAUAGUAAAGAGCAAAUCAUAAGAUUCCAAGAUUCCCUCUACGCGAAUGCAGUGUGAAGCCCGCGAAUGAGACCCCUCAGCUAAUCUAGCUUAUGUGAACACAACCUCAGUAUGUGAAUGCAAAGGCCAACCAUUGGCGCCCCUUCCUGCUCUGCCUCUACACGAUCGCGACACAAGGAACAUGAACGUUAUGAACAUCUCCCCUCCAGGUUCCGUGAAUGCGAAAACCGAAUCACAGAUGCGAUGAGCAAGUACUCAGCCACCCAAAAUACACUUCACAAUCGCAUAUUGCCUUCCUCAAUUGCGACGAACUGUAGAACAUCAGAAAAACCAGCAAUUCCAAAACAUGAAGAAAUGGCUCGUAGCCCAUCCGAAACACACCUGAGGCCCCGAGACCCCAUCCAAUCACACUAACCAAUCUCAAAACAUAAUAGGGACCUACUCGAUACCUCAAAUCACACCAAAAAUUAUCAAAACUAUGAACCACACCUCAAUUCAAGCCUAAUGAAUAAAUAAAAUUUCAACUUCCAAAGUUCAUGUCGAACUAUAUGAAAUCAAUUUGGAAAAACUUAAAAUUUUGCAUGCAAGUCCCAAAUGAUACAACAGACCUAUACCAACUCCGGAAAUCAUAAUCUGAACUUGAUAUGAACAAAGUCAACUCUCAAUCAAACCUAUCAACCUUACAAACCUUUUACUAUUCAACUUUCGCCAAUUCAAGCCAAAACAACCUAAGAGCCUCAAAAUCCACCUCCGGACAUACGCCUAAGUCAAAAAUCACCAUUUGGACCUAACAGGGCCAUCAAAACUCUAAUCCAAGAUCAAAUAUGCAAAAGUCAAACUUGGUCAACUCUUUCCAAUUAAAGCUUCUAAAAGAAGAAUUAUCCUUCUAAAUCCAUCCCAAACUGCUCAAAAACCCAAAACCGAACACGCAAAUUUUAAUACAUCAUAUGAAUCUACUCUCAACCUCGAACCGCUGAACAAAAAUCCAAAUGAUCAAAAUGACCAGUAAGGUCAUUACAGAUGUGGUACAGAAUAUUUUUCUCCUGUGUUAUAAGGACAUACUACUAUAGUCACCCUUGGGAGGGCUAGCCGUCUAUUGCAUCCCAAGUGCUAGUGUUUCCCAGGGGUUCGAGGCAUGAUACAAUGUAUUGUGAUAAUUCAUGCAUCGGUCUUGAUGCGGUGUUAGUGCAUAAUAGUAGAGUGAUUACUUAAGUUUGCAGCAGCAGCGGUCCUAUGAGAAGGAUUAUCCACUUUAUGAUUUGGAGCUUACAUCUAUUCCAAUAGAGGAGAGGCAUUUGGUUAUGGAUGUUUAGACUAUGGUCGAUAGAUUUGCGACUAUUUCUGAGCUUAAUAGAGUUCUCACUUGUAUUGCUGCGCAAUCAUCCUUGUUUGACCAUAUUAAGGAUAUUCAGUAUGAUGGUUUCCAUUUGUUUUUCCUUAGGAACAAGAUUGGGGAGGUAGUGCUAAGGAGGUAAUCCUUACUAUGGACGGUGUGGUGCGACUUCUGGGUCGAAUUUGUGUUUUCAGUGUUAAUGGUUCGAGAGAUUGAUUCUUGAGGAGGUUCGUAGUUGUGGUAUUUUAUUCGUACAGGUGAUACAGAGAUGUAUCAUGAUUCGAGCUAGCAUUAUUGGGGCAGCUGAUGAAGAAGGACAUUAUUGGGCAUGUCUCAUGGUGUUUGAUUAUCAACAAGUUUAGAAUGAGCAUCAUUGGUCGAGUGGUUUACUUUGAAAGAUAGCUAUACUGGUGUGGAAGUGAGAGCAUCCAAAUCCACUACUAAAAUGUAAAUGGACAUGGUCGCAUGUAAUAUAAUAUACCCAACUAUGAGUCGGGAUCGAAUCCCACAGAGAACAAUAUGUAGGCGAUUAGGAAUGUAAGAGAAUUAUCACUUGUUAUGCAAUGUCAAACAUUAAGAAUAGAUUUGAGAAAAGAUUUAUAUCUAAAAGCGGAAAUGUAAACUAACCUAGAAAGCAAGUAAAAUGAUCAACGGCUACAAGUAUGGAUGCAUCGGGAAUUACACACAAGUAACGAUCUAAUGUAUUUCAUGAUUUUACAAAUAUGAGCGAGUUUAUUUUAAUUAGCCACGGGUAAUAAUUCUAUAUUAGCUUCUUCCAAAGACUAACAAGACUUCCUAAUUGAAUUAUCCCUUAAACCAAUUAAGAGAUUAAGCACACCCGAUUAUGGCUACAAGUAGUUCAAUCAUAUCCCUAAGUAGAAUCUAUAAAAUGAGGGUUUAAGCCUUAAGUUCUUGUUAAUUAAUCUUUCCCAACCCCAAUAAUUUUUCGCAAAAUUAAUUAGGAGUUAAUGGGCAAGUCCUAGGGUUAGCUAAUCCCUUUGGAAACACUAAAGAACAAGAAUAAUUAAAGAAACAAUAACUCACUUCAUAAAAAGAUAAAAAUUAUUCAAUACAUAAACACAACAAGGUAUUUAAUUCACACUUUAAAUCUGAUUAUUUCCAUAAACAAGAUUCAAAUGUUAAAUAAAAUACUACACACUAAGAUAUUCAAUACGAAGCAAAGAAUGAAGAAAUGAACAUAAAUGGGUAAGAAAUUCUCAAACAAUAGCUUCAAAUCUUCAAGACCCAAGUGUGUGUACAAACCCUAGCUCCCAAAACUUGUUCUCUCUAGUGUUUGGAACUGAAAAUAAGCAAAAACAAUCUUUACAAAUGAGAUGGUUUGUGUAUUAAAUGGUUUGGAGUCAGAGUUGUGAAUUUCUAGAACUACCCAGUUUUUUUGCCUAGUUUCUUCUUCGCGUUCGUGACUACACCCUCGCAUUCGCAAAGGUUUGUUUUCCAAAAGCUUUGCGUUUGCGUCUGAACCUUCGCGUUCGUGAAGGUUUGAGUUCUGAUGCUUCGCGUUCGCAUUAGGUACUUCGCAUUCGCGAAGAUCUAGUUUCCUACUUCUUCGCGUUCGCGAAGGGUAAAUCGCUGGGCAGGUUCUCAUUAUCCAUUUUAGCUCCUUUUUGACUUGUUUUCACUUGGUUUCUUCACCACUACUCCUAAUUCACAUACAACCUGUAAAAUAGAAGUAAAUGACAUCAAACACAUGAUUUUAUCACUCAAACAUAGCAAAAAUAUAGGCUUAAAGACAAGAUAAGUUGGUAAAAUACCAACUUAUCAAACCCCCAAACUUAAACUAUUGCUUGUCUUCAAGCGAUGAAAGCGACAAAAUCUCCUCGCAAGUAUUUAACUCAAUAAUGCAUCCAUAUCAUGCCAAGCCAAAAAGGUCUACUAUAAGCACAAACACAUGACUUCGAUUGGUACCAAUAAUUAAUCCAAACCAUAUGAAUUACCAAACAUUGCUCAUGAACUUCAUUAUAUUUCAAGUGCUCAAACACUACAAAUCAAAGUAGCAAUCAAGUCAUGACACUAAAGCUUCACAAUUUGCCUUUUUAUCACAAUUAACUUUCUUUGGUCAUUCCUUCCAAUUGAAAUGGGAUUAAAUUCAAAACUCAAAUCUCAUGGUCCCUCACAUUUAAAAGAGAAUCUCACACUCAUAAAUCUUAAUUCAAAACAAUAAUGGGAUAUCAAAUGGAAAGAAUUAACUCUCUCUCACAAAGAUGUUCCAAUGCAUACAAGUAGUACCAUAGGCUUGCCCUUCAUGUAUUUCUCCACUAAUAUAGACAACUUGGUUCAAAAUCAUUUAGGACUUAAAGGGUUGUGGUUUAGGCUUUUGGUUAAGGUAGGGCACAAUUUUGGUUAGAGUGACUCAAAACCUCCCCAAGCACUACAAUAUUUACAAUCAAAGUCCACUUCCUUCAAAAACAUUGUCCAUCAUUUCUUCACUUUUUUAUUCCACACCUAAUCUUCCCUUUAUUCAUAACUUCUUAUAAUUUAUUUUUUCUUCCUUCCUUUUCAAUAUCAAGGAAAGUUUCACUUUUUUUUUUAUUAUUACCUUCCACCUUUUAAGCAACUUCUAUAUCACAACUUUUUCAACCUUCACCCCCAAACUUAGGCUUUUAGCCUAUGUUUACACUUCCAAAGUACUUAGGGAGGUAGGUUGCCAAAAUCUAGAUUAAUAAAGAAUAAAGGAUUAAAGCUUGUAACAUGGCUGCCAAAGAACAAGGUUAAAGGCUCAAAAUGGGUUGACUAGGAAAAUAUUCAAGGGUAGGAAAUUUAAGGCACAAUAGCGGUCCAAAGAAGGCCUAAUAUUAUUUUUCAAAUCAAACUAGUCUAUGAUUUCUCCUUGAAGCACAUUCUGGGCAAGGUCUAGACUAAAAAUAAUGUAAAAGAACUCACAAUAAAUCUCACCACACAUGGCACAUGAACACUCAAGUGGAAUACAAAUCCAAAAUCCAAUUGAAACCAAUGACUCAAAGAGGUUACAUAUAUCAUAGGAAGCUAUUUAGUGAAUCAAAGAGCCAAAAAUUUUAGUCUAAAAGUCAUGACAAUGAUCUUUACUUGAAUUAUUUUUCUUUUUCAACGACCAAAAAUUCAUAUGCUGAGGUUUAAAUCAUGUUGGUACCAAGCAAGCCACAACUUGAUCAAUGGGCACAAACCCCAACUCAAACCACUUAUUCUUCUAAGAAAGUCGCCUAGUUAUCCAUCAUCGGGAAAAGUCGACAAAAAUUUACUAACAAUUACCCGGUUCAAAAAAAAUUUGCAUCCUCAGAAAAAGAACCGUGGUACAAAGAAAACCAAGGAAAUCGCCACCAAAAUACAGCAUACUAUAUAAACAAAAAAUUAAAAAGCUAGUAAACAUCAAGUCACUAAAACAUACUGUAUAUAAAAACAAAAAUUCAAGAAACUAGUAAACAUACUAAUAUAACACAUUACAUGAAAAUACAAUAACAAUUAAUAAACUAAAGCAUCGACCAAUCUACACAAAUUAUCACACAAAAAAGAAAAAAUUGUUCAUGCUCCACAUACAUCCAUCAUAUAUAAAUGAGUCACCCCCAACCUAAAGUGUUACACUGUCCUCAAUGCAACUAAUCAAAACAAGAUAAAAUGAAGGAGGUGCUCCCUGAAAAUGCAUCAGUCGGAGCUGGAGGUGGUGGGAAAAUUGAGCUCCAAAUCGGCAUCAUCAUCAUCAUCUUAUUCAUGUGACCCACAAAUGAACUCAGCUUGUACAUCAUCUUGGAUAGAAAUUUGCUUUUCUUCUUCUCAUGCUCCUUGAACUUCCUCUGCCUCUUCUCAAUCUUCCCUUGUCGGUGGCUCAUAUUCUCCAGCCUGGUGUUCAUGGUCUCCAUCUUGCCCGUGAUUGCUUGUUACUCUUUGACUACAUCAUCCAUGGAUGGUGGGGCAGCAGUGCUAGUAGAUGUGCUAGCUCCAGGUGGGCUAGUAGUAAGGCCAGCUAUAAGUUGUCGAAUAUGUGCAUCUACUCCAUGUAUCUGACUGGAUAAGUGGCGCAUAGUGUGCGGGCCGGACUAGAGUGGUCCCAUGGGGUCAAAUGACCCUAAUACAGGUGCAAAGGAUCCAGCAGGAUCAGUGGUGGCCUCAGAGAACUGCCCAAAUGAAGAGGAUGUAACAUCAAUUCUCCUCUUUUUCUACUUGUCACUGGGUCCCCUUUUCAGCAAAGGAUGCAUCGGGAAUUACACACACGUAACGAUCCAAUGUAUUUCAUAAUUUUACAAAUAUGAGUGAGUUUAUGUUAAUUAGUCACGGGUAAUAAUUCUAUAUUAGCUUCUUUCAAAGACUAACAAGACUUCUUAAUUGAGUUAUCCCUAAAACAAUUAAGAGAUUAAGCACACCUGAUUAUGGCUACAAGUAGUUCAAUCUUAUCCCUUGGUAGAAUCUAUAAAAUGAGGGUUAAAGCCUCAAGUUCUUAUUAAUUAAUCUUUCCCAAACCCAAAUAAUCUUUCCCAAAAUUAAUUCAGAGUUAAUGGACGAGUCCUAAGGUUAGCUAAUCCCUUUGAAAAUAUUAAAGAACAAGAAUAAUUAAAGAAACAAUAACUUACUUCAUAAAAAGAUAAAAAUCAUUCAAUACAUAAGCACAAUAAGGUAUUUAAUCCACACUUUAAAUAAGAUUAUUUUCAUAAACAAGAUUCAAGUGUUAAAUAAAAUACUACACACUUAGAUAUUCAAUAUAAAGCAAGGAAAUGAAGAAAUGAACAUAAAUGGGUAAGAAAUUCUCAACUAAUAGCUUCAAAUCUUCAAGAUCCAAGUGUGUGUGCAAACCCUAGCUCCCAAAACUUGUUCUCUCUAGUGUUUGGAACUGAAAAUAAGCAAAACAAAUUUUUACAAAUGAGUUGGUUUGUGUAUUAAAUGGUUUGGGGUCAAAGUUGUGAAUUUUCAGAACUGCCCAGUUUUUCUGCCUAGUUUCUUCGUCGCGUUCACGACUACACCCUCGCAUUCGCGAAGGUCAAUUUUCCUUAAAAUUUGGGUUUGCGUCUGAACCUUCGCGUUUGCGAUGGUUUAAGUUUUGAUGCUUCGCGUUCGAGUUAGGUACCUCAUGUUCGCAAAGGUCUAGCUUCCUGCUUCUUCACGUUCGCGUUGGACCUUCGCGUUCACGAAAGGUAAAUCGCUGGGCAGGUUCUCAUUAUCCAUUUUAGCUCCUUUUUGACUUGUUUUCACUUGGUUUCUUUACCAUUACUCCUAAUUUAAAUACAACCUGUAAAAUAGAAGUAAAUGACAUCAAACACAUGAUUUUAUCACUCAAACAUAGCGAAAAUAUAGGCCUAAAGACAAGAUAAUUGGUAAAAUACCAACUUAUCAGUAUGAUUAUAGGGUUUGUGGUAGGGUUGCCAUGGGUUUCAAGGAAGUUUGAUUCUAUUUGGGUCAUUAUGGACAAUUGAGGGCAUUUCAUAUUGCUGGUGAAUUCUUACAUUUUGAGAGUUCAAAUUUAACAAGAAGGAUUUGCUUGAGCUAUUAAAAGAUUGUGCAUGCUUGAUUAUCAUUCUUGUGUGCAAUGUUAUUUUGAAGUAGGUUUUGUUUAUAUGUCUUCUAUUUAUUCAUUGAUGGAAUGUAGUAUUUUUUUGUGUCCCAUGGUCGAGUAUAGACUCAGAAGAAUCAAUUGAUUACAUAGUGGUUAUAUUCGAAGCAAGGUCAUAUGAAGAUAUUGAUAUGAUGUCACACGGGUG